UGUCGUCAGCUCGUGUCGUGAGAUGUUCGGUUAAGUCCGGCAACGAGCGCAACCCUCGCCUCCAGUUACCAGCGAGUAAAGUCGGGGACUCUGGAGGGACUAACCCGUUAGGGUGGGAAGGUGGGGAUGACGUCAAGUCAGUAUGGCCCUUACAUCUAGGGCUGCACACGUGCUACAAUGCCUGGUACAAAAGGAACCAAGACCGCGAGGUGGAGGAAAUCCCUAAAGCCAGGCCCAGUUCAGAUUGGAGUCUGCAACUCGACUCCAUGAAGCCGGAAUCGCUAGUAAUGGUAGAUCAGCUACGCUACCGUGAAUACGUUCCCGGGCCUUGUACACACCGCCCGUCACAUCAUGAAAGCCGCUUCCGCCCGAAGUAUCCGAGCCAACCGCAAGGGGGCAGGGUCCUAAGGCAGGGGUGGUGAUUGGGAUGAAGUCGUAACAAGGUAACCGUAGGGGAACCUGCGGUUGGAUCACCUCCUUU
This 481-nucleotide ribosomal RNA is filed under the name Opitutales bacterium. RNAcentral describes it as "bacterial SSU rRNA". It matches the Rfam family "Bacterial small subunit ribosomal RNA", at positions 1050 to 1533 of the family's 1533-position model. Lineage: Bacteria; Pseudomonadati; Verrucomicrobiota; Opitutia; Opitutales. The record is from RNAcentral.